Molecule: long non-coding RNA, 398 nt
Filed under: Equus asinus (donkey)
Lineage: Eukaryota; Metazoa; Chordata; Mammalia; Perissodactyla; Equidae
Description: lncRNA (ENSEASG00005031826.1)
Source: RNAcentral
AAACACGGACUCUUGUCUGUUACUUUAAGUAACUCAUAGUCUAGUCUGGGAAUUUCAUGUUCCUAGAAUGAUUAGAAACAAAGAUGUCUAAGGAAGGGGAGUGGGAAAAUGGCUCCUUAAAAGGCUUUUUGAGAAGGAUUCUGAAAUCACAUCAGAGCUGAGUGAGGACAAGUGCCCUAAUGAACUGCUGGUGUUUGCCAUGGCCAUGGAGAAGAGAGGGCAGAGGCACCUGAGCCGUUGCCUUAAUCUUCACCCUAACAGGCAUAUUACAACAUGCAUCCUCAACAUGCAGAGACCUAUUUGAAAUUCGCUCCUUGGAGGAGUAGAGAAGAUAGGAAGGCGUGUUACUCGCCUGGGGUGACGAUCUCACCGAACUCCAACCCUUAGUUUUACCCUGG